CUCCCCCAAGCCUCGCCACAAAGACCGGUCCUGCGCUGCCUGCAUCCAGCGAAUCCCCGCGAACCUCGAUAGAUCGUCGGUCCAUCUUUUGAGAGGCCUACCCACGCCACGUCUGCCGGUACGCUAAUUAAUCUUUAUUUAUUAUUUUACUAUAAUUGAUUUCUGGAAAACUAUAAUAAAUUUUAAUUCGUAAAUAAAAAGGAAAAAAGGAACACUAAUAGCCUAAAUAGGGGCCCUAAUAGUAUUGUGCCCGGGGCGCGAGUUAAACUAAACUCGCUACGCCACUGUAACAGCCCCCCUACUCUGUGAGGCGACUUUCAAAUACGAACUGGAAUUUAAAUCUCAAGUUAAUGCUUCCCCAAUUAAAAUACUUAUAUAGGACAAUCGUCUAUUGAAUAGUUUAAACACUUAAAUAAUUUAGGCAAGCGAUAUUUGAAGAAGUGCCUUGGUUUGAGGAUCGGGAGAUUGACGCAAAUUAUACCACAUAUUUUAAGAUCGAAGCAGUUAAAGGCAGCAGAAGCUACUGAACUCGCCGAACAGCGAAAUACAAAAGCAUAUAAAAACAAGUUUCUGCAAAUAAAAAUUCAAGACAAUUCCUGAUAAACAUUUAAUUUUCUAAAAAUUAUGUACAACACAUACGUCACAUAUAAUUUACAUUAAUGCAUUUUAGAGUAGGUAACAUUGUUUAUUAUUAAUUCACAUUGUCGUGUUGAGUCAACAUCGGUAAAGAAACUAAUGUCUGUCUUAACCAGAUGCAUAAACCAUAUAUUGUUGUCAUAAAAAAAUAUUUAAAAUCGUGAUUUCAAAAAGGAAUUAAAAACAAAUGCUAUUUCAUUAACUUUCGCAAAAAAGGUCCCAGGUAAGACCUUUGAUGAAAAACCACCGCUCACAACGACUGUGACGUGGAACUUUUGAGUGUCGCUAAAUUUUAGAAUCGUCAAAUGUGCCGUGAUGAAAAAAGUUUGAGAACCACUGUAAUACGAUAUCGUGACCAACAGGGAACGGCAACGGAACCCCUGAAUAAUUUAUUAAAACAAUAAUUCGUCUAUGAUCGAAUUUCAACGAUAACUUCAGAAAUGCUUUACAUUGUCAUUACUAAGUGUACACCGCACAGGCAACCCAAGUUAAAACAUAAAAUGGAAUUAUAAUUGGUACUCUGAUGUCUCUAGAACGUAUUCAGACGGUUGUAGUGUGAAAUAUUAAUUAUACUCAUAAUUAUAGUAGAAUACAUAUUGCUGCAUUCAAAAAAUUCUUAGUACAUCUGCCGCCGUAAACUUGAGCAAGAUUAUUGAGCAAUUAAUUUUAGUAAUGAGUUUUUAAUACCAACGAUAAUGGAUUCUCGUCCGAAACUACAAUCUUUAUAGAUUAAUAAUUAUACUGACUUGUACUAUAGUUACCUUUUACAGCUAUGUAAUGAAAAAAUUGUGUAUGACAUCCAGAAUGUGUUUAGGAAUGUUCAAAAUUGCUUGGAGUGCAUCUAUGCACAAUGGGAGAAAAAAAAAAAAAUUGUAUGUCUAAAAUAUGUCUCAGAAUUAAAGAAAAUGUUCAUAGGAAAAAGUUGUAGUUAACUAUAUUAAUAUACCACAAUAUCCUAAUAAAAGUUACAUAUUGUCAAUUUCAAGCUUGUAUUUUUGAAUUCCUUGACCAUAGAUAUUUGAUGCAAAAAAAACUACACCAAGUGUAGAAAUAGCUUAUAUUAAAAAUAAAACUCUGCAACCGCUUAAUUAACAAAAACCAGAUUUGUAAGGACGCUUCAAAAAAAAAAACAGUUGUUUCAACCAGUUUUAGUUCUUAAUUUUAUUUGGCCCUGAGAAUAUAACAUCUGAUCUCUGUUGCACGAAACACAAUUCAUAUUAUAUUUGAAUAACAUUUUUUGUAUUAUUCAAAUUACAAAAAUUGAGAAAUCAAAAAAUACUGUCAUUAAUAAUGAUACAAUUUAAUCAUCCCAGAAUCUGGCUCUCUCUUGCUUCAAAUCGUUCAUUUGGCACAGAAACUUUUGCCUACAAAAGUGUAGUUUAAUAGCAAAGAUCUUACUUUUAAUUUCUUAAGUUUAAAAUUUCAGUAAAAGUAAUUUUAGAUUAACAGAUGUUUAUACAUUUUUACUGAGUUGUGACGAUAAGCUGUCUUAAGCCUUUAAUAAUUUAAUAUAAAAAAGAUUUUUUCGAGUGCACUGAUAAGGACAGUGGUACCAAAAUUGAAAAAAAAUAGUAUUGGGUAUGUACAAAAAGUACAAAGCACACAGUAAGCCUAAACAUCUACAGAAUAGGGUUUAAAACAUCAUUUUACACACUCUGACAAACAGACUUCUAUAGUUACAUAAAAUUCGUACGCUUAUUGGUACUAGCUUACAUAAUACAUCGUGCAAUAAACAUGACCUCCUAAAUAUACUGUCAGGCAAUUUUAGACUUUAUCAUCGUAGUACUGAAAUGUAUUAAGGUGGAAAUUUCGAUUUGAAGUUGGUAUCGUUUGAUAAUAACAUAUUUUUAUUAGUAACAUUUGUUUCAAUAUUGAUUGUGAUAGAACACUCGUUAUCUGGCAUGCUUCAAAACGAAUUUUUAAGUUGUUGCGUUGUAAAAUAAAAUAAAUAAUUUGUGUUCACAUUACAUUUUUGUUGAUAAAUUUUUCGAAAUUUGUAUUUUAUUUGAUAUUGAGGUUAUGCACUAUUAUGUCAACCAUAUAAUCCGUAGUAUUUAUGGUACAUUAAAAUUCAGAAUCCAUGCACUUCACUUCAGAUUGAAACAAUAACGUUUGAUAACUUCACAAAAUUUUUCUUUUAAAAUUUUUUUUUCAAAAAAUUCUCUGUCAUUUCUGCACAUCACUUGAUACAAAUAAUAUUGUUGAUACAACUAGCUGCGGAUUAUUCCUUUACACUUUAGUUUCAUCUGUUCUCCUUCUCGGCAAUUUUGGCACAAGCCACACAAUUCGCGUGUGAGCGAUAAUUGUUAUUCUUCCUUCUAACGGCGAAAUUCCUUUCUCUUGAAGGGAACUUCUGUAUCUUCCUUGGCUGUUCCUUUACGUCGGUCACGUGUUUAUACAUGUUUAUUUGUUUAAGAUUCAAGCACAUAAUACGCGUGCGUACAGUACAACAGUUGCGGUGUCACUGACUGACAGAAGAAUUAAGUGAAGUGACUUGAAUAGUGUUGUAUGCGGGCGCAUGCACUGACCUCUUUUGAAGGUUGCAAUCGUCUCGCGAGUCGAUAGCUUAUCUAAGUUGUUAAGUAAAGAAGUAUAUAUUAUGUGGAGUUUCUGGACAUUUAUGUUUUCAAGUUUAUAAUUUAUAAUAAAUUUGGUUUCGUUAAAAUUUCAAAUCGAUCGAAAUUACGACCCACUCCGAAGAUCUGAUUAGAAGCUCAGCUGGCUAAAUUUCAAGUCGAACUCUUCGGUGAGCCCGACAAGUGGCCCAAAGGCUUUUCCAGCUUCACCAGGACAGGUGGGCGAGCAAGAGCUCAGCCAGGAGGGGUGGGAUUUUCUAACGGCUACCCGAGCGCCUCCGAAGGAGACCUAACAGCUCAAGAUACAUAACUACGACCGGAUUGGAACCGCGACACGAUGAGAAAAUCCGGCGAGAAACUCAGCGGGUUGGUGCACGGGUUGGGUUGCACGUUGAACUCUUUGCCGAGUUCGACGAGUACGGUUACCGGGGUCCCUAAGCCUGCUUCUAGUAUUAGAGCUGAAGCCAUGUAAUGCAAGAGUAAUUGAAUCUGAUGGAUGCGUAAGGGCGUGUCUACGACGUGUCUAGGGCGUCGACGGUGACUGGCUCCUGUAUGAUCAGGAUUCAGGGAAUAGUCAGCGGUGGCAACGAUAAGGUGAUCAUCAUGACAAUCCAAUUCUAACGUUAUGUAAUCGGCUUGUAUCGAUUUUACGCAAGAACGCAUCAAAAUCGAUUUUAAUUUUUAAUUAGCAUAUCCUAUGGAACGAUGUUCUUGAUGUGUGAAGAGGACAUUUUGGCGGGAACGCGAGCAGUGAAGUUGUGUGAUUUGUUUUAUUUUGUCUAUUUAGUGUUUCUUCAGGUUUAAAUGUGUAAUAACGGUGGUUUAUUAACUUUUUAAUAUCUGUGAAAGUGCACGAAUGUGGGAAAAUGAAACAAAGCUGCUGGACGUAGCUUCUCGGGUUCCUCCAAAAAGUCCACUGAAAUAAUCUUAGUAAAUGACUACCAUUUUACUGAUAUUAUAUUUCAUCCCAUAUCAUCUUAUUUCAUUUCAUUUAAUUUCAUCCCAGUUGAUUAAUGUCUCAAAUUAAUUAUCUUCAUUUCAUUUCACUCCAUAAUAUAAUUUUUCGUAAAAAUAUGAAUAUAAAUUAAAAUAAGACAUGACUUAAAGGUCUCAGUUACCGGGUCAUAAAAUCCCUUAAAAAAAGAUGUGUGAGACGACCGUGUUUAAGUUCAUUUACGGCAGUCAGGUGAAGGUAACUUUAAAAUAUUUCGUGUUUUGUGCAUAUAUUCAGGGUAUUGCUUUUAGAUUGAGUGUACGAAAACAUAUUUCGCUGCAAAUCUUUUUUUUUUAUUAAAUCAUAUUUUCUACUUUCAUUUAAGAAUAAAGAAGUUAUUUUCUUUUGUAGUUAAGGACUUUUAUUCAAGUAUGCUCUGAAACUACUUAGUACCUAAUCUAUAUCGUAAUAUUAUCAUAAAUUUUAGUAACUGCAAGACAAUCGCUUUGAGUAUAAUUGUCAUUAAAUUUCCGACGUAAUAUCAUUAUUCUGCUGACAUUAUACGUUAAUUCGUAUAAGCAUUUUAUGUUAUGUCUACAACUAUAGAGAUACUAUAGAGCUGAAGUUAUAUUGAGGAGGGAAGUGCAUUUCAAAUCCGGAUGGCACGCGGCAAAAAAGAUCUGUGGAAACGCAAUGUGGAUGAACUCAGCAUUUUAGUUAUUAUGGAUUUUAUUGAAGAAUAGCCUAAGAAUAUCAAGGUUAUUGUUGCACAUCGCAAAUUUAUAAUAGGUCCAAUGAAGCAAUGAAGGUUCCACCAUCAAAGGACUUCCUAGGCGGAAGGAAACGAAACGUGACGCGUGAAGAACUGUAUCAUUAUUCUGAGAUGAAUCUUCAAUAUCUAUAACAAAGGCUUGAGAAACCGACUGAUGUCCCAGGGAGACUACUGGGGUAUUAUUUGUCGACUUUUAAAUACCGUCGUGUUAACAGCCGUCUAAUCUUAAUAUAUAUUUCAUCUGUG
Molecule: long non-coding RNA, 5164 nt
Organism: Bombyx mori (domestic silkworm)
Lineage: Eukaryota; Metazoa; Arthropoda; Insecta; Lepidoptera; Bombycidae
Exons: 3
Source: RefSeq, a predicted model, not a curated record